AUCUAAUGAGUGCAAGUGUUUGCAGGUCCAUUUUUAAAACCAGCAGCAGUGUUUGCCUAUAAAGGAGAGGGACAGACCACAGGGAAAACUUUGCUUUCCAGGACCUCCAAGGCCCUGCCCCUCCCACUUGACCUAGGCAGCCAGAGAUUGGCUGACCAAAGCUGCAUCUGGGCCCACCCAGAAGACUCCUUGCAGGAAAAAGAAACCUCUUCUGACCCCGCUAUUCACCCUGCGACUGCAAAACGCCCAAGUUUAGGCAACACCCCAAUCUAUGGACCUCUUCCUUUGGGGAAAAUGCAACCCCAUCCUGAACAUGAGCUAUUCCAUUUUUUUGGAUGAAGUCUUCCCGCCACCAGUUCUUUUGGAAACAGUUCUGCCUUCUGUACAAGUUCUUAUCCGUACAUCAUUAGAUCGAGCCCCUGCAUUCCAAUGGUGAUUAUUCAGCAUAGAAUUAUUUAUUUUGCUAUGGUGGAUGCUUCUUAAGAUUCAGAGCUUUCUACACAAGAACCAUUUUCUCCAGCUAAAGACAGAACAUUUUCUAAGCAUGGAGAGAAACGCAUCUUUUUGUGACAUAUCUCUAAAGAUGCCAGCCCCAGAUGUGGAUAAAACAUUAGGAGCAAAAACUACCAGACCACAGCCAUCACAGUCUGGAGAACUCACAACAGCCAAUUUUCUAAGUGGUUGCAUCUGGAUCUUCUCCCCUAUGGGACCUCAAACCACUCUACCUGUAAAAGACCCAGUGUUUCAGCUUCUGCAGUAAUGCCAACACAUCAGGUUGCAAGGCUGCAAAACAAUUGAAAAAUAAAAACAAACUAAAAGCAACAAAAUAACAUUCAUGGAAUAGCUCCUGAUGGUCUCCGACCUCCUUGAAGUUAGACACAGGUAUAUGGACCACCUCUAUUGACUUCAAAUCCUCCUGUUUUCAUACUGCUACUGGACUUAGUAUUGCUAGUUCCUUUGCUUUGUUGUUUUGGACCAAUGUUAUCCAUUUUUCCUGGUUAAGCACAUGAAAGAUAAUAUACAGUAGCUAUGCUUUAUAUUGUCUUCUUCGUUCCUCCGCAAGAAAGAAAAAAGCAACUAAAGAAAUGUUGUGAGUCAUUUUAAAUAUCUAAAUUAUUAAAAGAGGUUUGAGUAACUCCAGGACUUGCUGCAGACCAUGUUCAAUUCAGAAAAGGAAGUGAAUUUAAGCGUAACUUUAAAU
Sphaerodactylus townsendi is the source of this 1201-nucleotide long non-coding RNA. RefSeq lists it as uncharacterized. The transcript has 2 exons. The record is from RefSeq and is a predicted model, not a curated record. NCBI's taxonomy places the organism in Eukaryota, Metazoa, Chordata, Lepidosauria, Squamata, Sphaerodactylidae.